GUCACGCUGUAAACGAUGUCGAUUUGGAGUUUGUUGCCUAGAGUGAUGGGCUCCGAAGCUAACGCGAUAAGUCGACCGCUGGGGAGUACGGCCGCAAGGUUAAAACUCAAAUGAAUUGACGGGGGCCCGCACAAGCGGUGGAGCAUGUAGUUUAAUUCGAUGCAACGCGAAGAACCUUACCUGGUCUUGACAUCCAUAGAAUUCUGCAGAGAUGUGGGAGUGCCUUCGGGAACUAUGAGACAGGUGCUGCAUGGCUGUCGUCAGCUCGUGUUGUGAAAUGUUGGGUUAAGUCCCGCAACGAGCGCAACCCUUAUUCUUUGUUGCCAGCGAUUUGGUCGGGAACUCAAAGGAGACUGCCGUUGAUAAAGCGGAGGAAGGUGGGGACGACGUCAAGUCAUCAUGGCCCUUACGACCAGGGCUACACACGUGCUACAAUGGCGUAUACAAAGGGAAGCGAAGGUGCGAGCCGGAGCGGAUCUCAUAAAGUACGUCUAAGUUCGGAUUGGAGUCUGCAACUCGACUCCAUGAAGUCGGAAUCGCUAGUAAUCGUAGAUCAGAAUGCUACGGUGAAUACGUUCCCGGGCCUUGUACACACCGCCCGUCACACCAUGGGAGUGGGUUGCACCAGAAGUAGAUAGCUUAACCGCGAGGGGGGCGUUUACCACGGUGUGAUUCAUGACUGGGGUGAAGUCGUAACAAGGUAACCA
RNAcentral lists this ribosomal RNA (707 nucleotides) under uncultured Providencia sp. RNAcentral describes it as "bacterial SSU rRNA". It matches the Rfam family "Bacterial small subunit ribosomal RNA", at positions 794 to 1502 of the family's 1533-position model. The record is from RNAcentral. Lineage: Bacteria; Pseudomonadati; Pseudomonadota; Gammaproteobacteria; Enterobacterales; Morganellaceae.